Molecule: RNA transcript, 1713 nt
Organism: Populus nigra (black poplar)
Lineage: Eukaryota; Viridiplantae; Streptophyta; Magnoliopsida; Malpighiales; Salicaceae
Exons: 11
Source: RefSeq, a predicted model, not a curated record
AAAAAAAGAAAAAAGAAAACUCUCCUAAAAAAUAUCUAAAACCCUUGAAGGCUGAAACGGUAAAACCUGUUCUUUCUGUUUCUCAAAAUCUAGAAGAAAGUAGAGCAGUGAAGGCAUAAGCAUGAGCAUAGCUUCGUUAUCAUCAGUAUCAGUGGACAUGGCCACUACAUUCGUCUCUUUAACUUCUCAUCAUCCCACCAGAAUCCUCCGCUCUACUCUACUCCCUUUCUUACUCAAACCACAAAAAACCCAUCAAUCCCUCCUUCUCAAAACUACUCCCUCCCUCCAACGCCGCCGCUUCUCUGUCUCCUCCAUCGACACGACCUCCUCUGCCCCUCAGACCGACGAUUCCGGUUUAACCACCAAGAUUCCUCCCGAUAAUCGCAUUUCUGCCACUAUUAUCACCGGUUUUUUGGGCUCUGGCAAGACAACAUUGCUCAAUCAUAUUUUGACUGCCGACCAUGGGAAGCGCAUAGCAGUUAUUGAGAAUGAGUAUGGUGAAGUUGACAUUGAUGGGUCUCUUGUCGCUGCAAAAACAGCUGGGGCUGAGGACAUUAUAAUGCUGAACAACGGUUGUUUAUGCUGUACUGUAAGGGGUGAUCUUGUCAGGAUGAUUGCAGAUUUGGUUAACAAGAAGAAAGGAAAAUUUGAUCAUAUUGUAAUUGAGACUACGGGGCUGGCAAAUCCAGCACCAAUCAUUCAAACUUUUUAUGCUGAAGACCAGGUUUUUAAUGAUGUCAAAUUGGACGGUGUUGUGACUUUAGUUGAUGCUAAACAUGCUCAUUUGCAUCUUGAUGAGGUUAAGCCAGAGGGAGUGGUGAACGAGGCAGCGGAGCAAAUUGCUUAUGCUGAUAGGAUUAUAGUAAAUAAGAUUGAUCUUGUUGGUGAGCAAGAAAUUGCUUCUUUGGUGCAGCGGAUAAGGAAGAUCAAUCGUAUGGCUAAUUUGAAGUGUACACAAUAUGGAAAAGUUGACUUGGAUUAUGUCCUUGGCAUUGGAGGCUUUGAUUUGGAGAGGAUUGAGAGUGCUGUCAAUGAUGAAGAUAGAAAGGAAGAUCAUGCCAGUCAUGAUCACAACGACAACCACAGCCACAAUCAUGCUCAUGAUCAUGAUCAUGAUCACCAUCAUCAUCAUGAUGAACAUGACCACAAGCACGAUCAUCAUGAUGGUCGUCAUUCCCAUGACCACACUCAUGAUCCUGGUGUUUCUUCUGUCAGCAUAGUCUGUGAAGGGAGCCUAGAUUUAGAAAAGGCUAACUUCUGGCUUGGUUCUUUAUUGAUGGAACGUAGUGAGGACAUAUACCGAAUGAAAGGUCUAUUAUCUGUUCAGGGGAUGAACGAGAGAUUUGUAUUCCAGUCCAUAAUUAGAAGGAAGGAAUCUCUCAUGCAACAACUGCCUGAUGUACGCCCAUGAUGCAAUAUGUUGUCUCCCGUCUCUUAACCGUGUAUCUAUCUGAUGUUUCCACCAAAGAACAAGCUCCACCUAUCAGGGUGUUCAUGACAUAUUCGAAGGUUCACCUGAUCGGUUAUGGGGCCCUGAGGAACCCAGAAUGAACAAGAUUGUGUUCAUAGGGAAGAACUUGGACGCUCAGGAAUUAAAGAAAGGCUUUAAAGCCUGUUUACUGUAAAAUUUAGAACAAUUAAGAUAUUUAGUUAACAUAUCUUAAUCUUGUAUUCUUGAUGAGCUAACCAUAAUGUACACAAUUGUUUUGACUU